RNAcentral lists this ribosomal RNA (250 nucleotides) under uncultured prokaryote. Its description in RNAcentral is "partial 16S rRNA". It matches the Rfam family "Bacterial small subunit ribosomal RNA", at positions 525 to 775 of the family's 1533-position model. The record is from RNAcentral.
ACGUAGGGGGCAAGCGUUAUCCGGAAUUAUUGGGCGUAAAGAGCGCGUAGGCGGCUUUUUAAGUGUGAGGUGAAAGGCAAUAGCUUAACUAUUGAAUGCCUUGCGAACUGGAAGACUUGAGUGCAGGAGAGGAAAGUGGAAUUCCUAGUGUAGCGGUGAAAUGCGUAGAUAUUAGGAGGAACACCAGUGGCGAAGGCGACUUUCUGGACUGUAACUGACGCUGAGGCGCGAAAGCGUGGGGAGCAAACAG